GCACAAGCGGUGGAGCAUGUGGUUUAAUUCGACGCAACGCGAAGAGCCUUACCUGGGCUCGAAAUGUAGUGGAAUCUGGCAGAAACGUCGGCGUCUAGCAAUAGACCGCUAUAUAGGUGCUGCAUGGCUGUCGUCAGCUCGUGUCGUGAGAUGUUGGGUUAAGUCCCGCAACGAGCGCAACCCUUAUCUUCAGUUGCUACCAUUUAGUUGAGCACUCUGACGAAACCGCCUCGGAUAACGGGGAGGAAGGUGGGGAUGACGUCAAGUCCUCAUGGCCUUUAUGUCCAGGGCUACACACGUGCUACAAUGGCCGGUACAAACCGCUGCAAACCCGCGAGGGGGAGCUAAUCGGAAAAAGCCGGCCUCAGUUCGGAUUGGAGUCUGCAACUCGACUCCAUGAAGCUGGAAUCGCUAGUAAUCGUGGAUCAGCAUGCCACGGUGAAUACGUUCCCGGGC
RNAcentral lists this ribosomal RNA (456 nucleotides) under uncultured bacterium. RNAcentral's name for it is "bacterial SSU rRNA". It matches the Rfam family "Bacterial small subunit ribosomal RNA", at positions 923 to 1379 of the family's 1533-position model. The record is from RNAcentral.